UCCACCUCCUCCGCUGGAUCCUCCUCCACAGCCUCCACCGCCUCCUCCUCC
RNAcentral lists this small RNA (51 nucleotides) under Caenorhabditis elegans. RNAcentral describes it as "Unclassified non-coding RNA ZK643.12". The record is from RNAcentral. Lineage: Eukaryota; Metazoa; Nematoda; Chromadorea; Rhabditida; Rhabditidae.